RNAcentral lists this long non-coding RNA (486 nucleotides) under Zostera marina. Its description in RNAcentral is "long non-coding RNA (ZMAR_LNC002779)". Lineage: Eukaryota; Viridiplantae; Streptophyta; Magnoliopsida; Alismatales; Zosteraceae. The record is from RNAcentral.
UGAAGAAAAAUUAAAGAACAGGUUCGUUCUUACAGAUACUUUAACUCUUUGAGUUUUCCGAGUUGAGCUCCGCACUCCCAAGAUCUCUGCAAGAAAGGAACCAAGGAUAUGAAGUUAGAGUAGAAGAGAAUGAAGGGGAAAAAAGUCUUCGUUCUUGAAUCCAUCCAUUCAUCCUUAUUACAGUCGAAUGACACUGUUGUCGUUGUUGCAGGUAACAUGGAACCAAGUACAUGGAUUUACAAAGCUUGGAUUCCAACUCUGCAACACCUCAUUUGGGUCAUCCAGACUGGAUUUCAAUUUGUGUAGAGCAUCGCCUUCUAUGUUGGAGAUGGCAACGUUGAUGAAAACGAGAUGGUGGAAGAUGUGAAGAAUGAUCACAACUGUUGAUAGAAUCACCAUGAAACUUGAUAAGUUGACAGAGUGGUUGGUGGUGAGCUCCGUUCAGUCCUCCUCAGAUACUUUAUUUCAAGUGACAACAAAAUGCAG